Molecule: long non-coding RNA, 2831 nt
Organism: Triplophysa dalaica
Lineage: Eukaryota; Metazoa; Chordata; Actinopteri; Cypriniformes; Nemacheilidae
Exons: 3
Source: RefSeq, a predicted model, not a curated record
UGAUUUUAUUUCCUUCUUGGAAAAAAGACAAAGUUCUGUACAGAGGUCUGACAGGCAGUGACUUGACACAAUUGGCUGGCUUUUGAGUUCACUACUCAAAUGGUGAGAUAUGGUAUGGUAAGACAAAACAAUAUUGUACACAGCAUAUUGCACGAAAUGAAACAAUAAAACAUAUCUAUAUAUAGUCCAAAACUCAUGAACAACACUCUUAAACAUAGGGAUGUAUAAAGAUAUAUGUUCUCGCUCCUGUCAUGAUAUAACAUUGUCCGACAUAAACACGCACUCUUUUACUUAUUUUACAGUCAAUGUACAUAGAAAUCUUCAUGUCGACCCUCUGCCUUAAACACGACUGCUCUACAUAAACCUGAAUUCAGAAAUACAAAAUGCUAUUUGCCAUGCCGUAAUAUACUAAAACGAUUAGCUACAUUUAGCCAACAUGUAGAAAAAGAUUAAAUAUCCUUGUACAAUUAUGGAGCGAAGACGUACUUCAUUGUUCAUGAAUUUAAGAGGCAUUUCGACGUAUCUGUAUAAUUCCAUCCAGUGGUUAAAACCAAAACGUGUCACUAUAAAAGCACGAAGAAAUCGGUAUUCAAAAGGUACAGUAUCCAAUAAGGACGUAAUAAAUUGCAGACGUCGCUGCAGCUACAUACAACCUCAUUCAGCGCUCAUCGUAGGCUAAUGAUGAUUGGUCGUUGAAAUUCAGACACUGUCUCUUUAAGAAGCCUGUGGAUUGACACUGUAAACAUGGUUAGGGGGGCAGAUUUUUGAGACAACCCGACCCCCUGGUUUUAAAAAUCGGAAAUCCAAACAGCGAUAUUCACCGAUUGACACCCCCCCCAGCGGGCGCCUCGAUGUCAAUUUGACGUCAAAUUUCAGACAAGAUUUGAUCAAGAUGGUGCACCACAUCAUUUCAAAUUCAAAUCAUACAUUAAAUUCUUCAAGGUUUUUAAUGAGGUGAAAAUAUGAGGUUUAUCCCAUACUGAAAUUGGUUAAUGUAAGUAUAGCCCAAUAUGUUUGACAUUGAAAUGACGUCAAAUCAACGUUGCAUUAUAGGCAUUCAUUUGAUGUUGUAUUGACAUCAUAUUGACAUCAAUGUAAAUCCAGUUGAAAUAGCAUUUUUCUUCUAACUGGCCCCUCAAAAUGCAUCUAUUUGUCACAUCUUUUGAAGCAGUUGUUGGAUUUGUACAUGAAAGUGGACUGCUGUAACUUCUGUGGUAAAAAACACUUUUUUUAAAAGUAUGUAAAUACUCAUGCUGAAAUAAAAGGAAACAGUGAUUGUUAAAUUUUACAAGAAAAUAUACUGAUUUGCCAAUAAUACAUUCAGAUGUAAUUACAAUUUAAAAUAUUAAAAACAAAAGCAGCAUUUUUGCUGUAACCCCACAUAAAGUAUUAUGUAUCCUUAUUUUUGUUAUUUAUAGUGAUAUUAUAUUACUGUAAAAUUAGAAAAACAUUGCUGUAAUUGAAAAUACUCAUAAAAUUGUAAUACCUUAUAAUGUAUGUACCAUUUUUACAGUAUUACAACUUCAUGUUCAUUUUAGUCAAAAAACUCUUAUAAAUAUUUUAUAAAUUUUUAUUUUUCCUUAAUUUUUAUUAAUAAUCAUUAAUUAAUCAUUAAUUUUAUUAUGAAAAAUGUUGGGCCUACAAUGCCCAUUCAUUCUCUGUAGUUUUAAUGCCCAUUUAUUAUCUGUCUUAUGUAUUUCUUAAUACCACCUGUAGACGGCGCCAUGGCCUAUUUCACAUUUCCGGGUUUCUCAGCAGCUGAAGUUAGUGAAUGGACUACAACAAUUAAUUUAUUUUUUGUGUGAAAUUUGAUGCAAAUGUAGUAUAACAUAUUAUUUUAUACAUACACGUAAAAAUAUAAAAUUUAUAAAAAUAUUUGGAGGAUUUACUACGUUGACCGUUGAAACGUACGUCAUCACGUCUUGCGUAGAGGCCAGUGUUUGCUAUGCGGUCGAAGCAUUGGACAAGGUUGUCGCUUUUUAUCAGAAUUCUUACAAACAAAUUGAUGUCAACAAUGAAUAUGGAUGGCUCAGGGCUGAAGAAGGCCUUUGGAAAACACGGCUAUGUCGUGUUAUAAUAGGUGCACUACAGCAGUCCAAACCUUCAUUAUCAGAGGCUGAAAUAAAAAAAUACAGCUAAAAAAUCUCCGGUCUGCUCCCGAUAGAUGUGGGGGUAUGGGACGACAAAAGGGGAAAUCGGCGAUUGAUGUGUGUUCAGAUUCUGAAUAAGUAGGCCUUAAGCCAAUUGUUUAUCAAAAUUAUUUUUGUUCAUUUGGGAUAUGAUCUGGGAAAACCCAUCACAUGGUGAAAUAAAAAAUACUGGUUUUAGUAUCAUAUGAAAGCUAUUAAGCCCUUUCCAAAACUGUUUUUAUUUAAUUUACAAAUUGUUUUUAUGGAGUGGGUGGUCUAGUGGGUUAAACCACUGAACUGGUAAAUCAAAAGGUUGCUAGUUCUAUCCUAGUAGCCACCACCAGUGUGUCCUUGAGCAAGACACUUUACUCCCCGUUGCUCCAGGGGGAUUGUCCCUGUAAUAAGUGCACUGUAAGUCGCUUUGGAUAAAAGCGUCUGCUAAAUAACUACACGUAAAUGUAAAUGUUUUUAACAAAUGGAAAGGGCUUGAGAGCUUUCAUAUGAUAUCAAAACCUGUAAUAUGUACAAUUUUGUCAUGUGAUGGCUUUUUCCAGAUCACUUAAUAUUUAUAUAUCAAUUUAAAUGUUAAUAUUUAAUUAAAAAGUAAUUCAAGGAGGAUUUUAUAUUUAUUAGUGGUUUAAGAACAUUUUAAAUUUCUGGAAUUGUAGCUGAUUGUAUUUAAUAAAACAUGUCUUACAUUAA